Molecule: long non-coding RNA, 4134 nt
Filed under: Homo sapiens (human)
Lineage: Eukaryota; Metazoa; Chordata; Mammalia; Primates; Hominidae
Description: HSALNT0293783
Source: RNAcentral
GGGCGCAGGACUGCAGGCUGGGGCUCCGCUCCCCGGCGGGAGCCCGCGCGUGGUUCCCAGCGAAGUCCCCGCGCGGCUGGGCCCAGCGUGAGUAUUCUCCGCCCGCUGUCCUCCCCCUGGAGGCGGCAGCGCCCGUUUAUUUGAGGAGGAUGAGGCUGUCACUACUACAGUUGGGACUGUUUCAUACUCCGUGCUCUUGUGCUAUGCCAGGGGGUACUGUCUAACCCACAAGUCUCUGCCAGGAAUGUUGCUGUCCACACUGGAGUGUAAGACACCUGCGGAGCUCGUCUAUGGGGCUCAUGUUGGCUGAGGCUCUGAACUACAGAACUGCAAACAACCAAGGGAGCGCCCCAGGCCCCAGGUAUUCCUAAACCUUAGAUCAGAGCCAUUUGCAGCACAGAGUUGUGUGCUGUUUCAAAACCACAGACCCUGUAUAUACGCCCCUCCAUUGCAGAGGUGGAUGUCUUGGCAAAUGUAGGACGAGGAUUGAAAAUUAAAAAACAAACACACCGUGUUCAGGGUGAAAAUUACAUACAUUGACAAUACUGUCUCUUUUCCUCCACAAUCUUACUGCCACCAGGCAGCCUCAGUCAGUCCGUGCUUAUUUCACUGAAAAUGUACUUAAUCUCAGAAAAGCUAUCUAUAUGUAAGAACAUAUUUUGUUAAUCAAUUUUAUGAAAACAAAACCCCUCUCACCUUAGUUGAAUAAAGUGCUAAUUUGAAAUACUGCCUCAUGAUUGUAAUAUGCACACAUAUGUAAUAGUAUUUGUUUUUUAGGUGUCCCUUAACAAGACAGGGAUGAGCAAACUAUAUGGUGCGUGCUGGAAAGAAAUUCAGUUUUAAAUGACCUUAAGGAAAUGGCUUGUUUGGUUAAGGAAAAUAAACUCAAUUGACAGUUAAGGUGAAAUGAACUUGUAAAAUUUCGUAUCAAUUACAACUCUUAUCGAUAAAAUGCCACCUGGAUCUUUAAAAUGCCAAGGUGUUCAAAGUUAUCAGAAAAUUUAAAAUUGGGGGGGGGGGGUUGAAGUAUUUUUGUUGUUGUUGUUAUUGUUCUCCCUCGCACUAAACAGCAUAGAAGUAAUAGUUUCCGUCACUUCAGGCUUCUAUUGGGGGAUUUUCAUCUUGUUCCAGAAGGAAGUAGCAGGAAAGCAACUUGUAUAGGUAACAGCCUCAGUCUAAAGGGCAUUAUUUCCAGGCAGAAUUUCUAUAGUUACCCUUGUCUGGGAACACUGUUAAGGGAUAUGUUUUAAUUUUAGGUCAGAACAACUGGGUUAAGCAUUAUGUAAGAUCUGGAGAAAACACUGAUGAGGGAAGGUGGAGGAGAAAGCAAGCAACAUUAGUUUACUGCGCGGCCAAAGGACUACUCCAGGCACCAGUGAGGAAGGGUAAUUUAGAUUUCUAGUGGGCACCCUGCCGGCCCAUUUCAUAACAAUCAGGGGGCCUGGAGUGGGGGGGCUUGCGGGUAGUUGAUAUCAAAUCCCGGUCUCUCUCACUUCCGCUCAAUCGGCUUUUGGCCAAAGACGAGUAUCUUCUUCCUGGACUGCCUUCUCCCACCCCAACCCAGACACCAAGGGGACGCGACAGCGGUUUUGGGACGCUGGCUGAUCAUCUGAGAGGAGGCGAUCCCGGCCCCGCUGGGCGUUCAGGAUCCCGAUCUGGAUGCCGUCCACCCCGCCCCGCCGGGGGCUGGGGCGAAAGCGGAACAAGUCGGCGGGGCUGGUUGGGCCGCGACCUCCGGGGCACGUGGCCGCAGACAGUGCCCGUGCCGGGGCGGGGAGGCGAGUUCUCCCUGCGGCCGCGGACCCUGGAUGGUGGCGUCGCCCGAAGACGCGCCUCACCGGCCUGGGUGGGGUUGCCUUUUGCCCUCGAGGCUGGCCUAAGCGCUGGGGGGCCGCUGGCUAACCCUGAGGUAGAUACUCGGGAAAUGGGUGGAAUAGGGAAAGGGACUCAGCCCUUCCGCCCUUUUCCCCAGUCGAGGCCCGCGUCACUGCCCUGUGGGUGCAGACGCCUCCAGUGUCACUCCCCUGGAUUUCGCUUGGGCAGAAGAAGAGAUUGUAGGCCGGACCCCAACGCCGAAGCCCUGAGGCUUCUAAUGUGAGGAAAAACACGGAAUGACAAGUGUGGGAAAGAGCAAGCACUAAAUUACUGUCAGAAAAAUAAACGGAGUAGCACAGUGCUGCUCGGUGAUUUACGGGGGCAAUUAGUCACCACCCCACGGCGCUGCUGAGGACAGCACGGCAGCAGACAAGUCAGGCCCAUGAGGAAGAAGAGGCUUUGCACUGCUCUCCAGACAACUUUUCAAACAACAAGAGAGGAUAUUUGAGCACAUUAGGUUUUGUGUCUUCAUUCUGGGUACCUACUCUUCAUAUUAUUCUACCAACUUAAUACAUAAACAUAUUUUUAGCACAAUAUGAACCUGUUCUAUGUGUGUUUAAAAGCCUCCAGCAGCAACUUUUUUCUCUCCCACUGUCCAAAGUUGGGUUUUCCCCAUCCCUUAAAAAACAAAACAAAAAAACCUUUCUUCACUCCAAAUUGUCCCCCUGGUGUGUGGUUUUGGUCUUUCUCAUUACUUCUUGCAUCUUGCUACAUGUUCUGCAUUUGCUCAGAGCCACUGGGUGCUAAGGAAUUUGGUCUGCUGCUCCUCUGGGAAAGUUUGGUAAGCUGGUACAAGGAGGUGAUGAACAAGGCUAAAUGAAAAUCAUACAUAAACUUCCCAAUAUUUGUGAACAUGUUCUUUAACAUACCAUACAUAGUUUCUAUGUAUAUGUAACAUAGCAAAACAAACUUGCUAAGGUAUAAUUAAUUGGUAUGCAUGCCUUCAUAAAUAUUCACCAUCAGAAGAAACCUAGAAUGAAAGGUUGUGAAAGAACCCAGGAAUGAGAAAGACUUUAUUGACUAAAGGCCAUGUCUAUGUAGGGGCAACAAUGAAGCUGUGGGUGAGCAAAUGAAGCUUCAUCAGGAGUUUAGUAUCCUUAUGUAGCAUUACCUAAGAAUGCUACCAUAGUAAAUUUCUGAAGUACUUUACCUGUUACAAAGAACGUUUGUAAUCUCCUUUUCUUAUUUGAUCUUGCCCUGGCUUUAGUCAGGAACACCUGCUCAGUUAGAAAUGUAUUCGGUGGGUAUGUACGCAGUUGGAGAAUGUGCCCCAACACACGCCGCCUUUGGCCUGUAUGUUGGAGUCCUAGAGAGGCAGACAAUGUUGAUGAGCUUGGUACCAGCAUGGUGCGCCAUUCAUCCGGACACAAUUUCUGAUAAAGAGGGUCACAACUGGGAGAAACCUCAGAUUCUACUUGCUUCUCUUCUCCACGUUAUUAGACUUUUUUUCCCCUCUUGAAUUUUAUAAGCACACUCCUUUUAAAACAAUUAAUUAAUAACGAGCACUGGGAUUUGAUGUAGAAUUGCGUAUUUGUAACUGCAAUGGCACUGGUUUUCAACUACCCUGUAACAAGGAAGCAAUUCUAACCAGCAAAAGAGGCAGACGUGUUUCUGUGCAACAUCACAGGCGUGUGAAAUUGUUCAGAUAUUGAGAUAUCAGGAGUGAUAUAAAUUGGAAAUUUAACCAAAAAUAUUUUCCAUCAGUGAACAAAGCCGAUUUUAAAGUGCCUCUUGCAUUUUUCAGAUCUUUCUCUUUCUUUUUCCCAAAGUCACAUUGUAGUUUCUGAUAAAGGAACACACUGGGAAAACUAAGCACAUAUUUAAUCAAUGAAAUUUAAGGUGUAAAAAUUCUGCAUUUCUGACAAAUUUAAUGUUCACUUUUUUCUUGAUUUAAAUAGAGCAUUCUAAAAAUAUUACCCCUAUAGGGGAUAAAUUUUUAUAUGCAUGUUAUUUUUCUUUACAAAGUGUGGGCUAGUAAAGAGUGAAAAAGACCUUGGCUAUUGUACUUAUUUCUUGAAAGAAAUAAUAGCAUCUUAAUGACUGGAUUCAAAUCUCUGCUUAUCACACAACUUCCGUACAGUUCAAAGAGAGGACUUGGAUUGAAUGAAAACAGAGAGCUGGGGCUUCCUACAUUCCCCUGUGUUUGUGUUCAUACAGAAUAUUUAUGCAAUAUUCUGACUUGGCCAUAAUCUGUAAUUCCUGCCUAUUAUUCUCAGUUGCAACUAUAAAUUCUAGAUUAAUGGUUAUAAUUUUGGUAAG